This 3546-nucleotide small RNA is filed under the name Spisula solidissima (Atlantic surf clam). RNAcentral describes it as "cnRNA15". The record is from RNAcentral. Lineage: Eukaryota; Metazoa; Mollusca; Bivalvia; Venerida; Mactridae.
AGAAAGAUACUAAGUCAGGGGCCUCUGCGGUAUUUGCAGGGAGACUGUUCCAGGAGGAAAUUGUUUUAGGGAAAAGAGUUUUUAUAGUAGCCUGUAGAUGUAGUAGGCUGUCUGUACUUCCAGGAGCAUGCUGCUCUUGUUGAGGUCGUUGCUGGAGUCAGGUAGUCUUCUCUUGGUAUGUCGACCNGGUCAUUAACAACCUUGUAGAAGAGGUUGACUUGGGACUUGAUGUGUCUUGACCCCAGCAACUCCUAGCCAAGAUUAGCAAUCAUGUCUGUGACGCUGCUGGUGUUGUGGUACCUGUUGGUGGCAUACCUUGCAGCUCUCCUCUGCACUUUCUCCAGCUUCUGUAUAUUGGUCUUUGCAUGGGGGCUUAAGAUUAUUGAACAGUAUUCUAACUGCGGUCGACCAUGGUUCAAUAGGCUUUUGCCUUUACUUCUUGGUUUGGGAUUCUGAGGUUGCGUCUUAAAAACCCAAGGGAGCUAUUUGCCUUCUUUGAAAUUUUGUCGAUAUGUGUGUUCCAGGAGAAGAAGGUUUUUUGUGAUGUUUACGCCUAAAUAUUUGGAUACAGUGUCUGUAGGAUAUGGCCUUUAACUUUUAAGUGUGUUGCUGAACAUGAUCGGUUUCUUCUUUCGGUGGACUCCGAGUAUACUGCACUUUUCUGGAUAGAAAGACAUGCCCCAUUUCUUCUCCCAAGCAGCCAGGUUCUUCAGGUAUUGUUCUAGGAUGUCARARUGUGCUGCRRARUUGAUUUGUCUGUAGACAAUACAGUUGUAUGCAAAAAGCCUUGUUUUUGAUGACACUUGUUGUGGUAGGUCGUUGAUGAAUGCCAGAAAUAAUAUUGGGCCCAAUACACUGCCCUGUGAAACGCCGCUAACUACAGCCUCUGCGUCCGAUGUGGCACCAUCAACGGUUACUCUUWGUGUUCGGUCUGAAAGGAAGGCUUUGAUCCAGCCAAGUGUACUCCCUCUCACACUGUAGUGGUCCAGUUUAACUAGGAGGCGUCUGUGUGGUACACGGUCAAAAGCCUUCGAGAAAUCUAGGAUAGCUAGAUCGUGUUGUUUCCCUUUCUCUAGGCCUGAUGUUAGCUCUUCCACAAGUGUGACAAGUUGGGUCUCACAGCUCCUUCUUCUUCUAAAACCAUGCUGACUAUUGGUUAGGAUGUUGUUGUCGUCAAAAUGCUUCAUUAUGUUGCUAACUUACUAUGAUAUGUUCUAGUAGUUUACAGCUAAUACACGUAAGUGACACGGGCCUAUAAUUACUGGCUUUAAAGCGAUCACCCUUCUUAAAUAUGGCAGACACGUUAGCUGACCUCCACACAGCUGGGAUAUCCUGGCAUGCUAGGCACUUGUUGUAGAUUAUGCACAGAUAUGGUGCACUUUGGUCAGCGAGUCCCUUAAGGAUCCUAGCUGGGAUCUGGUCAGGUCCUGUUGCUUUGCUGGGGUUGAACUGCUUCAGUAACUUGGCAAUUCCAUUUGUAUCAACUGUGAUAUCAGGCAUGGAGGGNAAAUGGUUCACCAUCCAUCUCUGGAGUAGGACCCUCGUCUUCGUGUGUAAAAACUGACUUGUAUUGCUGGUUUAGGAUGUUGGCUUUGUCAGAUGGAUCACAGUGUAGUUUGCCUUUAUCUUUCAGAGGAGCUAUUCCACAGUUAUCUUUUUUGAGUGAUUUGAUAUAGUUCCAAAAAUGCUUUUGCUUGCUUGGUGGUUGUUCGGUAUUGUCAGGUUGAUCUUCUACUAGGUUUUCUUCAUAAUUCCAGUAUUCUUGGCGUUCAAGCUUCUGUGCUUCAGUCCUUGCCUUAACAUAUUUCCUUCGGUCUUCAGCCUUAUUUGUUGAUCUUUGUUUGCCAUAGAGUCUUUUUAAUCUUCUCAGUGCGGCUCUUACUGGUUUACUGAUCCAAGGUUUCUUUGUUUUGUUUCCGGAUAGAAGCUUUGAUGGUAUAUGUUUUUCCAUAAGUGAUUUUAGUUUAGUUUCAAAUGUCUCGCUACAACUUAACAACAUAUAUUCUUCUUUCUUAUGCUUUCAGCCACCCCCUUAUUUUGAAAAAUAUUACACCAACUUUUCUUGCUUACCAAAUCCGGACAACUGUGGAGUCUGACUGGCGCUUGGUUAGCUCAGUUAAUAGAGCUACGGACUAUAGUAAUACCAGGGAUCAUGGGUACGAGUCCCAUGUUGUGUGCACUUUUUCCUCCUAUGGUACCAUCUUUGUCAUCAAAUAGACACCCAAAAGUGGACAGUAAUCGGCAAAUUAAUUGCUUGUUUGAUCACUUCAAUUAUAAUUUGUCACCUUGCAUGCAACUAACACUGUCACGUUUAAACGGAAUCGUUCAGGUUACGGCAAAUGAACGUUUACAUUUUCAGUAAACAUGUACACAUAACUUGGCUUGUACUAGAGCAGUCGACAAGGCGUUCUUCGUAAAUUGGUUGUUAUGCAUGCUUUACUGUUUUUCUAAAGUGGUUUUUGAUUGGUUUUUAGUAGCUCUUAGAAGGUGUUUCUCGUAUUUUCGGCGUUGGUCUUUAGUUGGUCUGUCUGACUCUCGUAUUUGCGGUGUUCAUCUAUUGCAAGUAAGGAACUUAAAGUCAAACAGAUACAAAAUGGUUUGCCUGAGCAUGCUUUCAUAUUAGACUGCCCUACUCGUUGGAACACUUCUAUAUUGACGUUUAAACGGAACCGUUUUGAUUAAUGCAAGACGUAUACACGGUUAUGAAAAUUUGUAAACGUGACAGCCUUACAUGCAACUAGGCAGUGAAGCGUGUCACCUAACCAAUUACUUCAUGAUUAAUUGAAGUUAUUAGAAAGUUGUUUAUUUUACGAUGCAUACAUUCUCCAUCUUUAUAGUUUCACACAGUUUUAUGACAGGAAAGGAGUGAUGUAAUAAAGGAAAAUGCCCCAGGUCCAAUGUGAUUCACAGGCAUAAAUUAUGCCGGGUCCUUUAUGCUUCUUUUGAAAAUCGUCUUGACCCUGGUGAAAUGAAACCUCUGAACAGACUGCACCAAAAAAAAAAAGCACUGUACUGUAUAAUUAAUAAUAAAUGUGAAAUNCGAAUGCGUCUAUGUCCCGAAGUCGGCUGUGAAUGUGGAAAUUUGAAGUCUCAGGCAUACUCAAAAUAUCUAAAUUAUAUCUAAUGGUGAAAUGCCUAUGUACAUAUAAACACACAAAACCUUGUUAUUACUCGUCCAAGGUCAUAAAACUAACAACCCAGCAAAUUAUUGUCAAGAACUUUUGUGAUGAGCAUGUAAUAGUUAAAACACCCGAAAGUAGAACUCACACUGUUUAAAGCUAUUUAUGUACUCAAAUCAUGGAUACCCAAAUCAGAACAUUUCUGAAAGGAAGGUAGAACCACCUAAGGUAGCAAUCGCAUGGAUGUUCAUCCAUUUAUAAAUACUCAGCUGUUGUAUGUAAGUUUUUUUGGUUAAAUUAAGACGCCUUAAAAAGUCAAGUACUUUUAGUACAAAAACUAAAUUGGUAACCUGUUAUGACUCAUCACCUGGGAUUUAUAUUGAAAUAUGAUAAUGAAAACUUAAAAAAAAAAAAAAAAAAAAAAAAA